CCAAUAGCGUAUAUUAAAGUUGUUGUGGUUAAAAAGCUCGUAGUUGAACCUUGGGCCUGGCUGGCCGGUCCGCCUCACCGCGUGUACUGGUCCGGCCGGGCCUUUCCCUCUGUGGAACCUCAUGCCCUUCACUGGGUGUGACGGGGAAGCAGGACUUUUACUGUGAAAAAAUUAGAGUGCUCCAAGCAGGCCUAUGCUCGAAUACAUUAGCAUGGAAUAAUAAAAUAGGACGUGCGGUUCUAUUUUGUUGGUUUCUAGGACCGCCGUAAUGAUUAAUAGGGACAGUCGGGGGCAUCAGUAUUCAAUUGUCAGAGGUGAAAUUCUUGGAUUUAUUGAAGACGAACUACUGCGAAAGCAUUUGCCAAGGAUGUUUUCAUUAAUCAGGAACGAAAGUUAGGGGAUCGAAGACGAUCAGAUACCGUCGUAGUCUUAACCAUAAACUAUGCCGACUAGGGAUCGGACGAUGUUAUUUUUUGACUCGUUCGGCACCUUACG
RNAcentral lists this unclassified non-coding RNA (495 nucleotides) under uncultured Paraglomus. RNAcentral describes it as "SSU rRNA". It matches the Rfam family "Eukaryotic small subunit ribosomal RNA", at positions 591 to 1092 of the family's 1831-position model. Lineage: Eukaryota; Fungi; Glomeromycota; Glomeromycetes; Paraglomerales; Paraglomeraceae. The record is from RNAcentral.